Molecule: long non-coding RNA, 195 nt
Organism: Telopea speciosissima
Lineage: Eukaryota; Viridiplantae; Streptophyta; Magnoliopsida; Proteales; Proteaceae
Exons: 4
Source: RefSeq, a predicted model, not a curated record
UGACCUGAAGAAUGGGAACGCAGAAUGGGAAAUAUCCCAUUUCAGAAUGGGCUGCAUUCUUGGUCGUGUUCCAGGAUUUUGAGAAUGGAAUGUAUACCAAACGAUGUUUUUUAGAGUCCAGAAUGUGUUUUUUAUAUAGAAUGCAUUCCAAGAAUGCAUACCAAACACAGCCUAGGUUUCUUCUUUUGUGCAUAA